Molecule: unclassified non-coding RNA, 499 nt
Filed under: uncultured Glomus
Lineage: Eukaryota; Fungi; Glomeromycota; Glomeromycetes; Glomerales; Glomeraceae
Description: SSU rRNA
Rfam family: Eukaryotic small subunit ribosomal RNA
Source: RNAcentral
CCAAUAGCGUAUAUUAAAGUUGUUGCAGUUAAAAAGCUCGUAGUUGAAUUUCGGGAUCAAGUCGUCGGUCGUGCCUCGGUACGCACUGGUGACAUUGGUUUCUCCCUUCUGAAGAACCUUGAUGUCAUUAAUUUGGUGUCUUGGGGAAUCAGGACUGUUACUUUGAAAAAAUUAGAGUGUUUAAAGCAGGCUCACGCUUGAAUACAUUAGCAUGGAAUAAUGAAAUAGAACGUUUGAUUCUAUUUUGUUGGUUUCUAGGAUCGACGUAAUGAUUAAUAGGGAUAGUUGGGGGCAUUAGUAUUCAAUUGUCAGAGGUGAAAUUCUUGGAUUUAUUGAAGACUAACUACUGCGAAAGCAUUUGCCAAGGAUGUUUUCAUUAAUCAAGAACGAAAGUUAGGGGAUCGAAGACGAUCAGAUACCGUCGUAGUCUUAACCAUAAACUAUGCCGACUAGGGAUCGGAUGAUGUUAAUUUUUUAAUGACUCAUUCGGCGCCUUACG